Molecule: long non-coding RNA, 1768 nt
Organism: Eriocheir sinensis (Chinese mitten crab)
Lineage: Eukaryota; Metazoa; Arthropoda; Malacostraca; Decapoda; Varunidae
Exons: 3
Source: RefSeq, a predicted model, not a curated record
CUUCCCUUUCCCAUCUCCCAUCUCCCUUUCUUCUUUUCCCCUUUCCCUUCUCUUUCCUUCCUUUCCCUCCGUUUCUUCCCACACCUUCUAUCUUUUCUUUCCUUUCCUUAUUCUCUCUACGUUUACCAAAAGGAAUCGAAUCGUGUCACAUUUUCCUCAAUCAUUUGCAUAACUCAGGGAGGUCUUUAAGUACCUCAAGAAGCCACUAACCUCAAUCACUCCAAGGUUGUUGUUUUUAUGACUCCGAACUUAAUCUUGAACUUGCAACAGCGGGGGUACAAUUCAAGCUAGGCCUCUCUCAAACCGAGUCAUCCGUCACUGGAACAACCUCACUGCGACGGGGAAGCGAUCAACCAGGAGGGGGUCAUUGUCGUAGGAGAUCUGGACGGCAUCACUGAAAAAAAAGGACAGCCGCGGUAUGAGCCAAAGGGACUGACUGCUGCCUGAUCUGAGCUUCCAUGUUCCUUCCUCUUCCUGUAUCCAUCGGUUCUGGCCACACACUAGUAUUUCUCACCCUCCAAAGCCCAGGGACACUUCUAUAUACCUCAAUAAACUCCCAAACUCACUUCCUGGCUUCUCCGUACACUCGCCGAGGCUGCUGGGGGGUGACAGGCUACCGGAGAUCAUUUCAGCCUUCACCAGCAGCGUUGCCAAACUAUCGUACACAUCGCAUUCCAUUUUCGUAGUUUCUGAUCAAUAACUAUAGCAAAAACAAGCAAACAAGAUCAAUAAAUAGGAGUUUUAACGCUAACUUCAAUUUUAUAUCGUUACUUGUGUGGGUACGAGAGUUUGCGGCUUAAAAGUGGUGAGUACGAUAAUUUGGCAAGGCAUACUUCAUACAUUUCACCAUACCACUGUGCAAUCCAAGUCACAUUUCGCUCAUUCAUUUGCGCAGUUCUUCACUCACGCCAACACACAAUUGAAAUGUCUACAAUGAUUACGGAAGCCUGGCUGUUAGUGCGUGGGUGUCUGAGUCCAUAGUCCACUGACGCGCUCCACCUCCACAUCUGCAAAAGUACAAAAAGUGGAGUAAAGUUGAAUCUCAUUGGUGGAUGCUGGGAAGGGUUGAAUCUCAUUGGUGGAUGCUGGGAAGGGUUGAAUCUCAUUGGUGGAUGCUGGGAAGGGUUGAAUCUCAUUGGUGGAUGCUGGGAAGGGUUGAAUCUCAUUGGUGGAUGCUGGGAAGGGUUGAAUCUCAUUGGUGGAUGCUGGGAAGGGUUGAAUCUCAUUGGUGGAUGCUGGGAAGGGUUGAAUCUCAUUGGUGGAUGCUGGGAAGGGUUGAAUCUCAUUGGUGGAUGCUGGGAAGGGUUGGAUCUUAUUGGUGGAUGCUGGGAAGGGUUGAAUCUCAUUGGUGGAUGCUGGGAAGGGUUGAAUCUCGUUGGUGGAUGCUGGGGAAGGUUGAAUCUCACUGUUGGAUGCUGGGAAGGGUUGACUCUCAUUGUUGGAUGCUGGGAAGGGUUGAAUCUCAUUGGUGAUAUUUCCUACACAAAAAAAAUAUGACUGGACCCCUGUAGGUAUUGUCACAGAAUAGAUUUUUGUGUGUAGAUGUGACUGGACUGGAGCCAUUUAGGAAUUGUGACCGGCUGCCUUUUGUGUGUAGAUGUGAGUGGACCCCUGUAGGAAUUGUAACAGAAUAGAUUGUUACGUGUAGGAGAUGACUUGUAUCCCAGUAGGAGUUUUGUCACUACUCGCAAAACCGCAAAAGCUGUAGAUGUGACGUUUAGAAAGUGUGUCGUAGGAGAUGUGGCGCACCCCCCUCCCCCCCCCUCCC